This 424-nucleotide ribosomal RNA is filed under the name uncultured bacterium. Its description in RNAcentral is "partial 16S ribosomal RNA". It matches the Rfam family "Bacterial small subunit ribosomal RNA", at positions 354 to 796 of the family's 1533-position model. The record is from RNAcentral.
GUGGGGAAUCUUAGACAAUGGGGGAAACCCUGAUCUAGCCAUGCCGCGUGAUCGAUGAAGGCCUUAGGGUUGUAAAGAUCUUUCAGGUGGGAAGAUAAUGACUGUACCACCAGAAGAAGCCCCGGCUAACUCCGUGCCAGCAGCCGCGGUAAUACGGAGGGGGCUAGCGUUGUUCGGAAUUACUGGGCGUAAAGCGCACGUAGGCGGAUUGGAAAGUUGGGGGUGAAAUCCCGGGGCUCAACCCCGGAACUGCCUUCAAAACUCCCAGUCUUGAGUUCGAGAGAGGUGAGUGGAAUUCCGAGUGUAGAGGUGAAAUUCGUAGAUAUUCGGAGGAACACCAGUGGCGAAGGCGGCUCACUGGCUCGAUACUGACGCUGAGGUGCGAAAGCGUGGGGAGCAAACAGGAUUAGAUACCCCAUAGUCC